Long non-coding RNA from Siniperca chuatsi (mandarin fish), 160 nucleotides. RefSeq lists it as uncharacterized. Lineage: Eukaryota; Metazoa; Chordata; Actinopteri; Centrarchiformes; Sinipercidae. The record is from RefSeq and is a predicted model, not a curated record. The transcript has 3 exons.
GAGAGAACAAGCGAGCAGGUGCUGUUUUUAUGGCUUUCUCCAUCUAGCGAAGAAGAGGAUAACAGGGUCACAGCAUGGAGACCUCAACGACUCCACACCUGGAAUAACACCACCCAGAAUAUCCGUUCCGCUCCGCUUGCACAAACUGAGCACGCUGGUG